UACGUAGGUGGCAAGCGUUGUCCGGAAUUAUUGGGCGUAAAGCGCGCGCAGGCGGUUCCUUAAGUCUGAUGUGAAAGCCCACGGCUCAACCGUGGAGGGUCAUUGGAAACUGGGGAACUUGAGUGCAGGAGAGAAGAGUGGAAUUCCACGUGUAGCGGUGAAAUGCGUAGAGAUGUGGAGGAACACCAGUGGCGAAGGCGGGUCUCUGGGCCGAUACUGACGCUGAGGAGCGAAAGCGUGGGGAGCGAACAGG
Molecule: ribosomal RNA, 253 nt
Filed under: uncultured bacterium
Lineage: Bacteria
Description: partial 16S ribosomal RNA
Rfam family: Bacterial small subunit ribosomal RNA
Source: RNAcentral